AACGAACGCUGGCGGCAUGCCUAACACAUGCAAGUCGAACGAGACCUUCGGGUCUAGUGGCGCACGGGUGCGUAACGCGUGGGAACCUGCCCUUAGGUUCGGAAUAACUCCCCGAAAGGGGUGCUAAUACCGGAUAAUGUCUUCGGACCAAAGAUUUAUCGCCUUUGGAUGGGCCCGCGUUGGAUUAGCUAGUUGGUAGGGUAAAAGCCUACCAAGGCGACGAUCCAUAGCUGGUCUGAGAGGAUGAUCAGCCACACUGGGACUGAGACACGGCCCAGACUCAUACGGGAGGGAGCAGUGGGGAAUAUUGGACAAUGGGCGAAAGCCUGAUCAAGCAAUGCCGGGUGAGUGAUGAAGGCCUUAGGGAUGUAAAGCACUUUUACCCGGGAUGAUAAUGACAGUACCGGGAGAAUAAGCUCCGGCUAACUCCGUG
This 433-nucleotide ribosomal RNA is filed under the name uncultured bacterium. Its description in RNAcentral is "partial 16S ribosomal RNA". It matches the Rfam family "Bacterial small subunit ribosomal RNA", at positions 29 to 507 of the family's 1533-position model. The record is from RNAcentral.